Molecule: ribosomal RNA, 207 nt
Filed under: uncultured delta proteobacterium
Lineage: Bacteria; Deltaproteobacteria
Description: partial 16S ribosomal RNA
Rfam family: Bacterial small subunit ribosomal RNA
Source: RNAcentral
CGCGUAGGCGGCCUAAAAAGUCAGAUGUGAAAGCCCGGGGCUUAACCCCGGAAGUGCAUUUGAAACUGCUAGGCUUGAGUAUGGGAGAGGGAAGUGGAAUUCCUGGUGUAGAGGUGAAAUUCGUAGAUAUCAGGAGGAACACCGGUGGCGAAGGCGACUUCCUGGACCAAUACUGACGCUGAUGCGCGAAGGCGUGGGGAGCAAACA